Molecule: long non-coding RNA, 362 nt
Organism: Grammomys surdaster
Lineage: Eukaryota; Metazoa; Chordata; Mammalia; Rodentia; Muridae
Exons: 2
Source: RefSeq, a predicted model, not a curated record
CACAUCACAUUAUAGAUGGUUGUGAGCCACCAUGUGAGUUGCUGGAAAUUGAACUCAGGACUUCUGGAAGAGCAGCGAGUGUUCUUAAUCUCUGAGCCACCUGUCCAACCUUGAACAUUACUUUUAUGAAGGUAAACCAAACCAAGAAUUAAACAAGCACUCUAGUCUGCAUGCAGCACUACUGCAGAGAAUCUGCUGGUCCCUCAUACAAUCACCCUUAUGCAGCCAUAGAUUACCCCACUUAGCAAGCUCCAUUCACCCUGUAAGGUGCUCUCUCCCCACACUUGUGCUUCUGGGCUACCAACUGCCAUUAACACAAACCACAGCAAAAGGAAAAUAAAACAAUUUCGCAAAAAUCUAAA